CAAUGAUACAGUCACGAAACGUUUCUUGGUAGCAGUUUGCUACGCCAAUCUAAUGGAUAUGGUAGCGAUAGUUGAUAGGUUAGCCUUUAGAUCAGGUAGCGGUAGAUUGUGUAGCGUAGAUAUUGUAGCAAUAUGUAGGUAGCAAUAUGUAGGUUCGAACUGAAACACGACAAUAAAAUAAAACUACUUAACUAAGUGAUAUACUUAAGCAUGCAAUAAACUAACGAAUGUCAAUGAAUAACAAAACUAACUAAACAUAAACUAAUAAACAAUCCAAUACUGUAACUUACGUACUUUAGUUUACACCUGUACUCCAAUAGCUGGCUGCUGUAGAUAGAUAAUUGAAGUAGAAAUCCACUAUAUUUGAAUAGGUUGCGUUCGCAUGUCUUUUUGUACUACCGUCAAUUCAAUACUAAAGGGGUGUGACUUAAUGUCACGCAAACAUACAAGGCUGAUAUGCCACAAUGGCAUUACGUAAUUAUGAUCUACUAGAUAUCCUGUUUCAAACUAACAUUCCGGCCCCUUAAAGGCGUUUUUUGCCUUUACAAAGCGUACCGAAUAGGGUAGUUUGAGACAGUAUAGUAACUAAAUAACCAGUUAAUGAAUGUUCUACUUAUCGUUUGAUGAUCCGGCUGCUUCCAACAGAACAAUCUUGGUGAUUGGUCGAACCAACGCUGUAGUACUAGUCUUCACUUUCACCGAUCGCACAAA
Molecule: non-coding RNA, 711 nt
Organism: Paramuricea clavata
Lineage: Eukaryota; Metazoa; Cnidaria; Anthozoa; Malacalcyonacea; Plexauridae
Source: the annotation of a GenBank genome assembly